Long non-coding RNA from Thalassophryne amazonica, 131 nucleotides. RefSeq lists it as uncharacterized. The transcript has 3 exons. Lineage: Eukaryota; Metazoa; Chordata; Actinopteri; Batrachoidiformes; Batrachoididae. The record is from RefSeq and is a predicted model, not a curated record.
UUUGUUCUUCUUCUGUUGAGUUUAUUGGUGGCUUGCAAAUGACACGGUGUAUUACUGCCACCAACUGUUUGGGUGUAGAGCAUUAAUGGAGUCUGGCAUCCUCUCCGGGUCACUGUACAUAGAAACCUUUU